RNAcentral lists this unclassified non-coding RNA (214 nucleotides) under uncultured fungus. Its description in RNAcentral is "sequence contains ITS1, 5.8S rRNA gene". The stretch from base 166 to 214 matches the Rfam family "5.8S ribosomal RNA", at positions 1 to 49 of the family's 154-position model. The record is from RNAcentral. Lineage: Eukaryota; Fungi.
UUUCCGUAGGUGAACCUGCGGAAGGAUCAUUAAUGAAACAUAGGACACUCUUUUUAGAGGUCCGAACUUCAUUUCAUCACCCUGUGCACAGACUACUAUACACACCUUUUUUAACUCUAAGAGUUGUAAGAAUGUAAACAGUCUCGUAAAGAGCAUAAUAAAUAAAACUUUCGGCAACGGAUCUCUUGGCUCCUGCAUCGAUGAAGAACGCAGC